RNAcentral lists this long non-coding RNA (1360 nucleotides) under Equus caballus (horse). RNAcentral's name for it is "lncRNA (ENSECAG00000059420.1)". Lineage: Eukaryota; Metazoa; Chordata; Mammalia; Perissodactyla; Equidae. The record is from RNAcentral.
GAAAUCACUAAGAAUUCUUGGCAUUCGCUAAUUACUUCAUCCAGAACACCUGUGUAUGUUUAACAGCUGUAAGCUAUGUAUAUAUUGAAAUUCUGGUUAUAAUAAACUCAGAGUGGCCAUCAGCCCUCUCCGCAUCUAUCCUGAUGUGUACAUUGGAUUGCGACACCGACACUCAGUAGUUUGGUUUCUGAGGACUUCAGUAGGUUUUAAGGAUGUAGCAUGGCCUGAAGCAGCUUCUGCCUGUCACUUCAGACUGCAACAACCUUUCAUUGGCUUCCCAUCCUUCUCUGUUUGCGGGUUGGUCUGUGAAAACCAAGAAUCUAAAGUCUCUAUGACAUCUUCCCCUCUGCCCCAGAAAUAUUAGUUUAAAUUUUUAUUUUUCUCUUUUGCAGUCAUAAGAGAAAAUCUUAAGGUACUAUUGCAAACCUACAAGAUAUGUACACUCUUCUGCUUUCCUGAAAUAUUUGCUGGUACGUGACCAAGCCUUUCUGCUCUGUGAUUUUUUCUUUUUCAUUAAUAGUGUCCAGGUUUAUAGACUCACGUGAUUUGCUGACAAAAAGGGUCUGAGUAUUUUCUUUUUGGUUUCUCUAGGUGACUGGAAGUUUUUUAUGGGUGAGACUCUCUGUUCCUCUUUGUCAUCCUUAGGCCCUAACAUGGAGCCUGACAUCUAACACGUACUCUACUGAUGCUUUUGAAACUGAAAUGUGAAUGCGUUUAACCAAACUUUAUACAUGAUCAGAGUAACUUAUUUCCCAUUUGAACCCUUUAAGACAAUUUCAUACCAGUUUCUUCAGUAUUUUGGGGCAGAAUUGACCUCUCCAUCUUUGACUACAGUCUCGUGGUAAUAUUGAUUCUGCUAGUAUCAGACUUGAAUGGCCAUUACUAUUCAUUACUCCACUACAAAGUAGUUCAUUCAGUUCUCCAACAUGAAGAAAUAUACACCUGGUGUCUGGCUGGCCUACUUAUUAGGCAGCCUCGCUCUUAGCUGAGGCUGGGCAAUCUAUUUUGUGUUGGUUUUGCUUUAGAGGAAGCACAGUUUGUGUUGGACUUGAGGUGACUUGACACUGAUCCCUUGGAACAGAUGGCAGCUAACCACUGAUGUCACAGUAGCAAACCUUCAGGGAUGACACCUGGAGACCACAGAUAUGACCACAUUAUACAGCUGGAGCGCAAGCCGUGGAUGGCAAUAUACCUGAUGCCUUUUCCUAACCUGUGGCUUGCCUUUUAAUGUAUAUGCAGACUUUCAAAGUUAUAUUUCUAAAAGAGGUGAGUGAGGAAAUAAACUGGGGUCCACCCAGACAAUGGAUUAUUAUUCAACACCGAAAAGAAAUGAGCUAUCAAGCCAUGAAAGACAUGGAGG